This 2268-nucleotide ribosomal RNA is filed under the name Triticum aestivum (bread wheat). RNAcentral's name for it is "partial small subunit ribosomal RNA". The record is from RNAcentral. Lineage: Eukaryota; Viridiplantae; Streptophyta; Magnoliopsida; Poales; Poaceae.
CUCCUCCACUUGUACUCCACCGCCACCACCCAAGGAGCGCCACGCGCACAGCUCGUCUUCUGAAGCAAACAACAGACACAAGCGGGGACGAAUCCGUCCCGCGGCGGUUCGUCGAUCGAUCCGAUGGGGCGGCGGUCCAGCGCGUCGCCGGUGGGGUCGGGGGAGCCGCUGCUGCCGGAGGUGCGGAAGUGCGUCAGCGGCGGCGCGACGAUGCAGCGGUCCCUGUCGCGGGCGGACGACGAGCUGCAGUGGUUCCGGUCGUGCCUGCGGUGGGUGUGCAUGGACCACUCCGCCCCGGGCCGCGCAGCGCUGUCCUGGCUGCUCUUCCUGCUCCUCGCCGUGGUCGUCCCGGCCACCGCGCACUUCCUCCUCACCUUCCGCCCCUCGCGCCGCCCCUUCGACGCCGUCGUCCAGGUCUCGCUCUCCGCCGCCUCAGGCGCCAGCUUCCUCUGCCUCUCCUCCUCCUUCCGCCGCAUCGGCCUCCGCCGCCUGCUCUACCUCGACAAGCUCCGCACCAACAGCGACCGCGUCAGGCUCAACUACACCGCCCGCCUCGCCUUCUCCUUCCGCCUCCUCGCCUCCCUCGUCGCGCCCUGCUUCGCCGCCGAGGCCGCAUACAAGGCCUGGUGGUACGCUACCUCAGCCGACCGCGUCCCCUUCUUCGCCAACGACGUCCUCAGCGACGUCCUCGCAUGCUCCCUCGAGAUGGCCUCCUGGAUGUACCGCAGCGCCAUCUACCUCCUCACCUGCGUCCUCUUCCGCCUCAUCUGCCACCUCCAGGGCCUCCGCCUCGAGGACUUCGCCGGCUCCCUGCUCGUCGAGGUGGAGGAAGGGAGGAUGGGGGUGGAGCGCGUCCUCAGGGAGCACCUCGACAUCCGCAAGCAGCUCAAGGUCAUCAGCCACCGUUUCCGUCGGUUCAUCGUCGCCGCGCUGCUCAUCGGCACCGCCAGCCAGUUCGCCUCCGUGCUCCUCACCACGCGCCACGACUCCAUCGACGACCUCCUCCACACCGGCGAGCUCGCGCUAUGUUCAGUGGUGCUCAUGUCCGGGCUCAUCAUAAUCCUGAGCAGCGCCGCCAAGAUCACUCACCAAGCGCAGGCCCUCACGGGCCAGACCACCAAGUGGCACGCCUGCUGCACAAUCGAGCCGGUCCCGGACGACGAGAUAAAUCCGGGAUCCAACCAGAACUCCAUGCUGGAAGAGUACCCCGAGGACGAGAGCGACUGCGAGUCCAGCGAGGAGACCGGUGAUGAGGACAUGCUGGAGAACACCAAGUUCCUCCAGCCUCACACGCACGUGAUCUCCUUCCAGAAGAGGCAGGCACUAGUGACGUACCUGGAGAACAACAAGGCCGGCAUCACCGUGUUCGGGUUCACGCUGGACCGGUCGUACCUCCACACCAUAUUCAUGCUCGAGUGGACGCUCUUCCUGUGGCUGCUGGGGAAAACUGUCGGCUUCUCAUGAACGCCAAGGAAUGUCAUCGUCCUUCCCAGCCAGGUGGUUCGAUUCCGUUCCAUAUUUUUUUGCUGUCGCCGGUUUGAUCCUUGUGAAAAGAGAAGGAAUGGGUUUUUUUUGUGUGUGCGCGCGGGUGGCACGUGAGUGGUGUGCACUUGUAUGCUAGCAGCGAUUUUGUGUGAUGGUCGUGUAAAUUAUUAUGGGUUGAUUGCUCGUGCAUGUAAGGUGUAUGUACAGGCUUAGAUGAGUGCUUUAGAGCCUCGUGCGUGCGUGCGUGACGCUUGACAUUGCAGGUUUAUAAUCUCAGGUUGUAACUUGUAAGCCAGCAUCAGUUAUACAGCAGGUGUGUCAAAAAAAGAAAACUCUUUCCUUUAUUUUGGUUCUACCGGCUGUUCUCCUGAAGAAAAUGUUUUCUGCUCCAUUCGGUAUGAAUUCUAUGGGAUAUGAGAUGGUAUUUCAUAUUCAGUACAUGUAUAAUAGUCGAAGCAUUUCAAUGCAGGUGAGGGUGGUACAUCUAAUGGUAGUUUUGGUAGGAGCUGGGAUCCUACCAGUCCUAGCCCUCAAGUUGUAGGGGUGAAAGGGAGGAUGGCGAGGUGAUGGGCGCGAGCGGCAGCGCUGUGGUCGCACGGCGAGGAGGAGAAGGUGUGGGAGGAGCGGCUAGGGUUUAGGGUUCCGGCUCCUGAAGGGAGCCGGGCAAUAGUUAUGACUUAUUGCUUAAUUCCAAAACCUGUGCUGAUGAUCCUGUAAAUUAUUAUGGGUUGAUUGCUCAUGGAUGUAAGGCGUAUGUACAGUUGUAUAUUGAGUGCCGUAGAG